RNAcentral lists this transfer RNA (85 nucleotides) under Felis catus (domestic cat). It matches the Rfam family "tRNA". From Rfam's summary of the family: Transfer RNA (tRNA) molecules are approximately 80 nucleotides in length. Their secondary structure includes four short double-helical elements and three loops (D, anti-codon, and T loops). The record is from Rfam by way of RNAcentral. RNAcentral also lists the same sequence under 2 other names. Lineage: Eukaryota; Metazoa; Chordata; Mammalia; Carnivora; Felidae.
GCCUGGGUGGCUCAGUUGGUUAAGCAUCUGACUUCAGCUCAGGUCAUCAUCUCACAGUUUGUGGGUUUGAACCCCGUAUUAGGUU